CCUACGGGGCGCUGCAGUGGGGAAUAUUGGACAAUGGGCGAAAGCCUGAUCCAGCCAUGCCGCGUGUGUGAAGAAGGCCUUCGGGUUGUAAAGCGCUCUCAGUGGGGAAGAAAGCCUUGGGGCUAAUACCCUCGAGGAAGGACAUCACCCACAGAAGAAGCACCGGCUAACUCCGUGCCAGCAGCCGCGGUAAUACGGAGGGUGCGAGCGUUAAUCGGAAUUACUGGGCGUAAAGCGCGCGUAGGCGGUCUGAUAAGCCGGUUGUGAAAGCCCCGGGCUCAACCUGGGAACGGCAUCCGGAACUGUCAGGCUAGAGUGCAGGAGAGGAAGAUAGAAUUCCCGGUGUAGCGGUGAAAUGCGUAGAGAUCGGGAGGAAUACCAGUGGCGAAGGCGGCCUUCUGGACUGACACUGACGCUGAGGUGCGAAAGCGUGGGUAGCAAACAGGAUUAGAUACCCUGGUAGUC
This 465-nucleotide ribosomal RNA is filed under the name Vreelandella stevensii. Its description in RNAcentral is "partial 16S ribosomal RNA". It matches the Rfam family "Bacterial small subunit ribosomal RNA", at positions 338 to 795 of the family's 1533-position model. Lineage: Bacteria; Pseudomonadati; Pseudomonadota; Gammaproteobacteria; Oceanospirillales; Halomonadaceae. The record is from RNAcentral.